GGCAAACGGGUGAGUAACGCGUAAGUAACCUACCCCCCAGUGGGGGAUAACCCCGAGAAAUCGGGGCUAAUACCGCAUAAUGUGUUGGGGUAAUGCCCAAACACUAAAGCUGAUGGUGCUGGGGGAGGGGCUUGCGUCCUAUCAGGUAGUUGGUGAGGUAAUGGCUCACCAAGCCAAUGACAGGUAGCUGGUCUGAGAGGAUGGUCAGCCACACUGGGAUUGAGAUAAGGCCCAGACUCCUAUGGGAGGCAGCAGCAGGGAAUAUUGCGCAAUGGGCGAAAGCCUGACGCAGCGACACCGCGUGGGGGAAGAAGGCUUUCGGGUUGUAAACCCCUUUUCUCGGGGAAGAAUAAUGACGGUACCCGAGGAAUAAGCCUCGGCUAAUUACGUGCCAGCAGCCGCGGUAACACGUAUGAGGCGAGCAUUACCCGGAUUUAUUGGGCGUAAAGGGCGUGUAGGCGGCGAGGGAAGUCCUCGGUGAAAUCUCAAGGCUCAACCUUGAGGGGAAAGAGGAAACUCCCUGGCUUGAGGGCAGCAGAGGGAGGUGGAAUUCCCGGUGUAGCGGUGAAAUGCGUAGAUAUCGGGAGGAA
Molecule: ribosomal RNA, 590 nt
Filed under: uncultured bacterium
Lineage: Bacteria
Description: bacterial SSU rRNA
Rfam family: Bacterial small subunit ribosomal RNA
Source: RNAcentral